AUGCGGGCCCAGAAGGCCGCUCGUGCGUCAUCCCGGAGGCGGACCGCAGAGAUCCGGUGCUGGAGGAGCCCCCUCGGGCUCCUUCGUGCCUGCCGGAGCCGGCAGGGGCUGGCGACAGCGGCGGCGGGGCUGGCCGGGCAGGGGCUGCACGGAACCAGGCUAGGGUUUCCGGGGCACCGACGGCUGGGCCUGUUCCGGUGUUGGGCCAAAGUGACUGGCCCAGCCUGCCAGGGGGUGGGCUGGGAGACCCUGCGUUGGGUCAGCAGGCCUCAGCGCCUAUGGGGCAGGUGGGCUCAGUGUCGCUCUCCACCGUGA
This 315-nucleotide ribosomal RNA is filed under the name Triticum aestivum (bread wheat). RNAcentral's name for it is "partial small subunit ribosomal RNA". Lineage: Eukaryota; Viridiplantae; Streptophyta; Magnoliopsida; Poales; Poaceae. The record is from RNAcentral.